This 478-nucleotide ribosomal RNA is filed under the name uncultured bacterium. RNAcentral describes it as "partial 16S ribosomal RNA". It matches the Rfam family "Bacterial small subunit ribosomal RNA", at positions 28 to 523 of the family's 1533-position model. The record is from RNAcentral.
GACGAACGCUGGCGGCGUGCUUAACACAUGCAAGUCGAACGGUAAGGCCCUUCGGGGUACACGAGUGGCGAACGGGUGAGUAACACGUGGGUGACCUGCCCUGCACUUCGGGAUAAGCCUGGGAAACUGGGUCUAAUACCGGAUAGGACCCUGGGAUGCAUGUCCUGGGGUGGAAAGCUUUUGCGGUGUGGGAUGGGCCCGCGGCCGAUCAGCUUGUUGGUGGGGUGAUGGCCUACCAAGGCGACGACGGGUAGCCGGCCUGAGAGGGUGACCGGUCACACUGGGACUGAGAUACGGCCCAGACUCCUACGGGAGGCAGCAGUGGGGAAUAUUGCACAAUGGGCGCAAGCCUGAUGCAGCGACGCCGCGUGAGGGAUGACGGCCUUCGGGUUGUAAACCUCUUUCAGCUAUGACGAAGCGCAAGUGACGGUAGUAGCAGAAGAAGGACCGGCCAACUACGUGCCAGCAGCCGCCGUAA